AACGCAUUAAGUGCCCCGCCUGGGGAGUACGGCCGCAAGGCUAAAACUCAAAGGAAUUGACGGGGGGCCGCACAAGCGGCGGAGCAUGCGGAUUAAUUCGAUGCAACGCGAAGAACCUUACCAAGGCUUGACAUGUGCCAGACCGCCGUGGAAACACGGUUUCCCCUUUGGGGCUGGUUCACAGGUGGUGCAUGGUUGUCGUCAGCUCGUGUCGUGAGAUGUUGGGUUAAGUCCCGCAACGAGCGCAACCCUCGUUCCAUGUUGCCAGCACGUAGUGGUGGGGACUCAUGGGAGACUGCCGGGGUCAACUCGGAGGAAGGUGGGGACGACGUCAAAUCAUCAUGCCCCUUAUGUCUUGGGCUUCACGCAUGCUACAAUGGCCGGUACAAUGGGUUGCGAUACUGUGAGGUGGAGCUAAUCCCAAAAAGCCGGUCUCAGUUCGGAUUGGGGUCUGCAACUCGACCCCAUGAAGUCGGAGUCGCUAGUAAUCGCAGAUCCAGCAACGCUGCGGUGAAUACGUUCCCGGGCCUUGUACACACCGCCCGUCAAGUCACGAAAGUUGGUAACA
RNAcentral lists this ribosomal RNA (568 nucleotides) under Paeniglutamicibacter sulfureus. RNAcentral's name for it is "bacterial SSU rRNA". It matches the Rfam family "Bacterial small subunit ribosomal RNA", at positions 854 to 1419 of the family's 1533-position model. The record is from RNAcentral. Lineage: Bacteria; Bacillati; Actinomycetota; Actinomycetes; Micrococcales; Micrococcaceae.